Long non-coding RNA from Lagopus muta (rock ptarmigan), 1649 nucleotides. RefSeq lists it as uncharacterized. Lineage: Eukaryota; Metazoa; Chordata; Aves; Galliformes; Phasianidae. The transcript has 3 exons. The record is from RefSeq and is a predicted model, not a curated record.
UCAGCUUAGAAGUCCUCCCAGCUUGCACAGUAUUUUUAUAUGGUUCUGUCUUAGGCCAGAUAAGCUGAAAGAUUUUUAUUCAAGAACUUAAAACAUAAGACUGCCUAAACUGUGUUUCUCAGUCGUUAUUCUUUUUUUAUUUCAUUGCAAAAAGCAAAAACUCCCACAACUCUUUGGCUUUUCAAAUCAACUUUGAUAUCAGUGAGACUGAUAUGAGUUAAGUUAUUGACUUAACAUCUCCAAGCUUACUUCAAGAAUCCUACAAAUUGCCAUAAUUUGAAUAAAGACCUUCUUGUGAGCUAUAAUGAUAAUUUCAGUAAGAAACACUUUAAAAAAUUUAAGAAAAAAAUCAGAAUUAGUUAUGUUUUUCCAGCUAAUAUCAAGGUUUGCUGGAAAAAAAGAAAUCUCUCUGCAACCUUGGGAAAUUGCUUAAACUCUCUUCUACAGUUGUAGAGAAGAGAUAUUUCGGUUACAGUAGAUGUUAACUGAAGUUUUUCCAAGUGUACUUUUUGUGUUCUCUGUAAUGUGUUCUUUAUUAUAUACAGCGUACAGUGAAAGAAAUGACCCUUCACCCCUCCAGUUUGAAAUCACAUGGGAGGUGAAGGGAUACACCACACCAGAGGCUGACGGUCAAAUGGAAGAACAGCAAUCACCAGAGCCAGUUGUCUCUACCGGAGAGCAUCAGUCAGGAAGGAGCUGACAACUGAGCUGCCCUGGGGAAGGAAGCUUCUCAGAAAUAAUUUUAUCAGGGGAGAAUAAUUUCAGUAAACCUCGUAUUCAAAGUUGCUGAAGAUUUUGCUUUGCUUCAUGAGAACAUCAUAAAGCAUGUGCAAGACAACCAGAGGAUCAGGCCCAGCCAGCAUGGAUUCAUGAAAAAAGAACUACCAUAUGAAAGCACCAUUCCUUCCUUUCUAAAUAUUUCUUGGAAAUCACAUUCCUAAAUUACAUAGGCAAACCUCCACAAGAAGAUAAAUCCUGUCUGAAAUCAAAGUCAUGGAAAUGGCACCUCUGGUAAGUAGCAUCUGGGCAUGUGACUCAGUAAUACAAAGGCAGUCGUACAGUCACAAGUCCUUAGGAAGUGCAGUUGACAAGAAUGUCAGAAGUAAAGAACAGAGAAGCCAUUUCAUGAACAUCUUUUCAGCUACAACCUGCAGUACAAAAUUCUCUUAUUGCAUAUCUUCUUUUCAAAAUCUAUUUUAUAUAGUGUAUACAUAUAUAUAUAUAUUUGUAAGGUAUUGGGCUAGGCAGUAAUUGGUACAAGAUAGCUUGGCACUAAUGAAUAGUGUUUAAACAGUGAACAAAGCUCUCUUUUGUUUUUGCUUUUUAAUUAAAAGAGAGGUGAUCUUUUGUACAGAAGAAUAGAAACCACCCAAGUUCAACUCCUGGACUGCCUUGCAGAGGGAUCCUUUUCUCUCUGCUGAGAGACCUGAUUUUGACACCGAAGUUGGAAUAUGCCAGGACAAACAUCUCAAUAAACAGACACUUACAUGAGUGUGUUGAAACUAAUUCUGAAAAUAAUCUCUCCUGAUGCAGGCAUUUCUUUCUGUAAAGCUUAUUUCACACUUCACAGGUCACUUCACCUGAAACCACCAUUUUCACACCUUCUUUGUAUGGUUGUUACUCACAGACAACAGUUACAGGACCAGGCU